RNAcentral lists this ribosomal RNA (429 nucleotides) under Parogovia cf. sironoides GG-2011. Its description in RNAcentral is "partial 16S ribosomal RNA". The record is from RNAcentral. Lineage: Eukaryota; Metazoa; Arthropoda; Arachnida; Opiliones; Neogoveidae.
UUCUUUAAGUAAGGAUUUAAAGUAUAGCCUGCUCCAUGAGGGUAAAUAGCUGCAGGAGACUGUACUAAGGUAGCGAAGUCAAUAGCUCUUUAAUUAAGGGCGAGAAUGAAUGGUGUGAUGGAGAAAGUUUUUCUUAAUUAUAUAUUUUGAAUUUAAGGGGUAGGUGAGAACUCCUAUGUUAUGUUUAGGGACGAGAAGACCCUAGAAGCUUGGGUGAUUUCUUUUUUGAUGGAUGGAAAUAGGAUUUUGGUUGGGGUAAUUAAGUAAGAUUGGAUUUUAUUUUUGAUCCAUUAUUAAUGAUUAAGGGAUAAAGUUACUUUAGGGAUAACAGCGUUAUAAGAGGAAUUAAGUUCAAAUUUUUUCUUUUGUUUGCGACCUCGAUGUUGGAUUAAUAAUUCUUUUAGGAGUAAGAUUUUAGAGAGAUAGACU